Molecule: ribosomal RNA, 257 nt
Filed under: uncultured prokaryote
Description: partial 16S ribosomal RNA
Rfam family: Bacterial small subunit ribosomal RNA
Source: RNAcentral
UACGUAGGGGCGAGCGUUGUCCGGAAUUAUUGGGCGUAAAGAGCUCGUAGGCGGCUCAGCAAGUCGGCUGUGAAAUCCCGAGGCUCAACCUCGGAACUGCAGUCGAUACUGCUGUGGCUAGAGUCUGGUAGAGGAGAGUGGAAUUCCCGGUGUAGCGGUGAAAUGCGCAGAUAUCGGGAGGAACACCAGUAGCGAAGGCGGCUCUCUGGGCCAGUACUGACGCUGAGGAGCGAAAGCGUGGGGAGCAAACAGGAUUA